GAUGAAGAACGCAGCGAAAUGCGAUAAGUAAUGUGAAUUGCAGAAUUCAGUGAAUCAUCGAAUCUUUGAACGCACAUUGCGCCCCUUGGCAUUCCAUGGGGCAUGCCUGUUCGAGCGUCAUUUGUACCUUCAAGCUUUGCUUGGUGUUGGGUGUUUGUCUCGCCUUUGCGUGUAGACUCGCCUUAAAAUAAUUGGCAGCCGGCGUAUUGAUUUCGGAGCGCAGUACAUCUCGCGCUUUGCACUCAUAACGACAGCGUCCAAAAGUACAUUUUACACUCUUGACCUCGGAUCAGGUAGGGAUACCCGCUGAACUUAAGCAUAUCAAUAAGCGGAGGA
This 336-nucleotide unclassified non-coding RNA is filed under the name soil metagenome. RNAcentral's name for it is "partial contains 5.8S ribosomal RNA, internal transcribed spacer 2, and large subunit ribosomal RNA". The stretch from base 1 to 120 matches the Rfam family "5.8S ribosomal RNA", at positions 35 to 154 of the family's 154-position model. The record is from RNAcentral.